CUCUGUUGGGCAGGACUGGCGUUAGCAAGCGGGGAAGUGCAGUACGUGCCCAACGGAGAGGGCUUGGCUUGUGAUGAAGAGCAUGACUGAAAAGGAUCCACCUCUUCUCAAAAAGGGGAGGGAGGGGCACCAACCAAAGAAGUCACAUCACAUAGGUUGUGUCUCAAAUGGCACCCUACUCCCUAUUGUUGUGCACUACUUUUGACCUGAGUCCUAUGGGCUCUUGAUAAAAGUAGUGCACUAGGAAAUAGGGCGCCAUUUGGAACGUAUACCCGCUGUGGGCAAACAGAGACCUUCCCUCUGUAAGGGUGACAGAAACAACACACUCCAGGAAAUGGCCGUGUCCAGCCUCAGGAUCACCACGCAGAGAAGGGCAUCCCUGUGGCGGUAACGUGAUGUUCGGAGCGGAGUGCCUGCACAGGACUGUCGUCUCUGCUAACAGGCUUCUUAUGUCCACACCGGUGGCUCUGCAGUGCUUCCCUUGGCUUCCCCUGGCCCGAGGCCCCCCUGGUGGCUCUGCAGUGCUUCCCCUGGCCCCCCUGGUGGCUCUGCAGUGCUUCCCCUGGCCCGAGGCCCCCCUGGUGACUCUGCAGUGCCUCCCCUGGCCCGAGGCCCCCCUGCUGGCUCUGCAGUGCUUCCCCUGGCCCGAGGCCCCCCUGGUGGCCCCCUUGUUCAUAGUUGUAAUGGGAAAUAAUGUAUAAUGUGUUUAUUAACUGUCUCUGUACCCUAUAUGACUGAACUGCUUGUAUGACAUGACCGAAUCUGCAGUAUGUCCAGGAUGCAGCGAUGUCUUUAAUAAGGUGUCUAUUCUGUGUUUUAAUCUCAACCCUUUAAU
This is a long non-coding RNA of Oncorhynchus tshawytscha (Chinook salmon), 835 nucleotides long. The record is from Ensembl. Lineage: Eukaryota; Metazoa; Chordata; Actinopteri; Salmoniformes; Salmonidae.